This 883-nucleotide ribosomal RNA is filed under the name uncultured archaeon. RNAcentral's name for it is "bacterial SSU rRNA". It matches the Rfam family "Archaeal small subunit ribosomal RNA", at positions 29 to 922 of the family's 1478-position model. The record is from RNAcentral.
GCGUGUGGAUGAACUAGCAUGCGAGUCAUUGCAGUAAUGCAAGGCAGACGGCUCAGUAACGCGUAGUCAACCUACCCUAUGGACGGAAAUAACCUCGGGAAACUGAGAAUAAUGCCCGAUAGAACAUUAUAUCUGGAAUGGUUUAUGUUCCAAAUGAUUUAUCGCCGUAGGAUGGGACUGCGGCCUAUCAGUUUGUUGGUGAGGUAAUGGCCCACCAAGACUAUUACAGGUACGGGCUCUGAGAGGAGUAGCCCGGAGAUGGGUACUGAGACACGGACCCAGGCCCUAUGGGGCGCAGCAGGCGAGAAAACUUUGCAAUGUGCGAAAGCACGACAAGGUUAAUCCGAGUGGUUUCUGCUAAAGGAACCUUUUGUCAGUCCUAGAAACACUGGUGAAUAAGGGGUGGGCAAGUUCUGGUGUCAGCCGCCGCGGUAAAACCAGCACCUCAAGUGGUCAGGAUGAUUAUUGGGCCUAAAGCAUCCGUAGCCUGCUUUGUAAGUUUUCGGUUAAAUCCAUACGCUCAACGUAUGGGCUGCCGGGAAUACUGCAAAGCUAGGGAGUGGGAGAGGUAGACGGUACUCGGUAGGAAGGGGUAAAAUCCUUUGAUCUAUUGAUGACCACCUGUGGCGAAGGCGGUCUACCAGAACACGUCCGACGGUGAGGGAUGAAAGCUGGGGGAGCAAACCGGAUUAGAUACCCGGGUAGUCCCAGCUGUAAACUAUGCAAACUCAGUGAUGCAUUGGCUUGAUGCCAAUGCAGUGCUGCAGGGAAGCCGUUAAGUUUGCCGCCUGGGAAGUACGUACGCAAGUAUGAAACUUAAAGGAAUUGGCGGGGGAGCACCACAAGGGGUGAAGCCUGCGGUUCAAUUGGAGUCAACGCCGGG